Molecule: long non-coding RNA, 400 nt
Organism: Cajanus cajan (pigeon pea)
Lineage: Eukaryota; Viridiplantae; Streptophyta; Magnoliopsida; Fabales; Fabaceae
Source: RefSeq, a predicted model, not a curated record
CCCUAAUUCACCAGCCACCGCCCAAUGCAAUCUUCCCUUUUCCCUAAAUCGUAAGGUAGAUUUUUGAACACUAUGAUCCUUAAACCAGGAUGCUGAUCUAAUUAUGCUCUCCUUAGCUACACAUGAGGUUCACUUCUCGAUAUUGAGGGAGUUUCUAAAUAUCUGGGUGCUGCGGGAAUAUUUGCAAUUUUAAUUGGAGAUACCAAACCCUCCUUUUGAGAUUGACUUUGGACGAGUUGGACGAUUUUGUAUUUCUAUGCUUCUUUGUUGGCAACGAUUUUCUUCCACAUAUGCCAACAUUAGAGAUCAGGGAGGGGUCUAUAAAUUUAUUGAUGCAUGUAUAUAGAAAGGAAUUUACUGCCAUAGGUGGCUAUCUUACUGACGCUGGAGAGGUAUUCUU